Molecule: microRNA precursor, 109 nt
Organism: Sorghum bicolor (sorghum)
Lineage: Eukaryota; Viridiplantae; Streptophyta; Magnoliopsida; Poales; Poaceae
Rfam family: MIR5565 microRNA precursor family
Source: Rfam
GUAGUCGGAUUCACUUCAAUCCAUGUGUAUUGAUGUGGGUUGGAGUGGAAUUUAGUUCAAGUUCUACUCCGAUCCACCUCAACACAUGUGGAUUGAUUUAAAUCCGACU